GCCUGACUGGCUCAACUGGAAGAGCAAGAGACUCUUGAUCUUGGUGUCGUGUGUUCGAGCCCCAUAUUGGGCA
This 73-nucleotide transfer RNA is filed under the name Ailuropoda melanoleuca (giant panda). It matches the Rfam family "tRNA". Rfam says of the family: Transfer RNA (tRNA) molecules are approximately 80 nucleotides in length. Their secondary structure includes four short double-helical elements and three loops (D, anti-codon, and T loops). The record is from Rfam by way of RNAcentral. Lineage: Eukaryota; Metazoa; Chordata; Mammalia; Carnivora; Ursidae.